This 543-nucleotide ribosomal RNA is filed under the name Pantoea sp. DY-17. RNAcentral's name for it is "partial 23S ribosomal RNA". It matches the Rfam family "Bacterial large subunit ribosomal RNA", at positions 1211 to 1753 of the family's 2925-position model. The record is from RNAcentral. Lineage: Bacteria; Pseudomonadati; Pseudomonadota; Gammaproteobacteria; Enterobacterales; Erwiniaceae.
ACACUAUGUGUUGUUGGGUAGGGGAGCGUUCUGUAAGCCGUUGAAGGUGUGCUGUGAGGCAUGCUGGAGGUAUCAGAAGUGCGAAUGCUGACAUAAGUAACGAUAAAGCGGGUGAAAAGCCCGCUCGCCGGAAGACCAAGGGUUCCUGUUCAACGUUAAUCGGAGCAGGGUGAGUCGACCCCUAAGGCGAGGCUGAAAAGCGUAGUCGAUGGGAAGCAGGUUAAUAUUCCUGCACUUGGUGUUACUGCGAAGGGGGGACGGAGAAGGCUAGGUUAUCCGGGCGACGGUUGUCCCGGUUUAAGCGUGUAGGCUGAUACCUUUGGUAAAUCCGGGGUAUCUUAAGGCUGAGGCGUGACGACGAGCCACCACGGUGGUGAAGUAACUGAUGCCCUGCUUCCAGGAAAAGCCUCUAAGCUCCAGGUAACACGAAAUCGUACCCCAAACCGACACAGGUGGUCAGGUAGAGAAUACCAAGGCGCUUGAGAGAACUCGGGUGAAGGAACUAGGCAAAAUGGUGCCGUAACUUCGGGAGAAGGCACGCUG